RNAcentral lists this long non-coding RNA (252 nucleotides) under Elaeis guineensis (African oil palm). RNAcentral's name for it is "long non-coding RNA (EGUI_LNC068121)". The record is from RNAcentral. Lineage: Eukaryota; Viridiplantae; Streptophyta; Magnoliopsida; Arecales; Arecaceae.
GCUGGUAGAGCUUGUCUGUUGUAGGAGUUCAUCUAUGAUCCAUCCACUGUAGAAGUUCGGAUGGAGUUCGACUCUUGUAGGAGCUCGGAUGAAGUCCGCUUGCAAUAGAAGUUUGGGGUAGAGAUUCGGCUCUUGUAGGAGCUCGGAUGAAAUUCGGAAGGUGGUCGACCACCAUAGAAACUUGGAUGGAGUCUGGUUACUGUAGAAAAUCGACUGAUAGUGAAGCUCGAAAAUCAUUUGGAGCAACCCGGC